Molecule: ribosomal RNA, 460 nt
Filed under: uncultured bacterium
Lineage: Bacteria
Description: partial 16S ribosomal RNA
Rfam family: Bacterial small subunit ribosomal RNA
Source: RNAcentral
CCUACGGGAGGCAGCAGUGAGGAAUAUUGGUCAAUGGACGAGAGUCUGAACCAGCCAAGUAGCGUGAAGGAUGACUGCCCUAUGGGUUGUAAACUUCUUUUAUAAAGGAAUAAAACGAGGCACGUGUGCCUUUUUGCAUGUACUUUAUGAAUAAGGAUCGGCUAACUCUGUGCCAGCAGCCGCGGUAAUACGGAGGAUCCGAGCGUUAUCCGGAUUUAUUGGGUUUAAAGGGAGCGUAGAUGGGUUGUUAAGUCAGUUGUGAAAGUUUGCGGCUCAACCGUAAAAUUGCAAUUGAUACUGGCAGUCGUGAGUACAGUUGAGGUAGGCGGAAUUCGUGGUGUAGCGGUGAAAUGCUUAGAUAUCACGAAGAACCCCGAUUGCGAAGGCAGCUUACUAAACUGUGACUGACAUUGAUGCUCGAAAGUGUGGGUAUCAAACAGGAUUAGAUACCCUUGUAGUC